CAUCCGGUCGAUCCUGCCGGAAUCCGACGCUCUCCCCAAGGACACAAGCCAUGCAUGCCCGCGCACCCGGGAGGCGGCGGACGGCUCAGGACAACGGUUGCACCCCCCGCGGCGGUCCCUGCUAGCCGGACACCGCUGGCAACCCGGCGCCAAGACGUGCGCGCAAGGGCGGGCGCCCGCGGGCGAGCAGCGUGACGCAGCGACGGCCCGCCCGGGCUUCUGGGGCAUCACCCGGUCGGCGCGGUCGCGGCGCGCCGAGGGCCCGACGCCUGGCGGAGAAUCAGGGUUCGAC
RNAcentral lists this ribosomal RNA (292 nucleotides) under Giardia duodenalis. RNAcentral describes it as "Giardia intestinalis partial small subunit ribosomal RNA". It matches the Rfam family "Eukaryotic small subunit ribosomal RNA", at positions 1 to 381 of the family's 1831-position model. Lineage: Eukaryota; Fornicata; Diplomonadida; Hexamitidae. The record is from RNAcentral.